Molecule: ribosomal RNA, 423 nt
Filed under: uncultured bacterium
Lineage: Bacteria
Description: partial 16S ribosomal RNA
Rfam family: Bacterial small subunit ribosomal RNA
Source: RNAcentral
AUUUUGGACAAUGUGCGCAAGCCUGAUCCAGCCAUGCCGCGUGAGUGAAGAAGGCCCUCGGGUUGNAAUGCUCUUUCGGACGGAAANAAAUCGCCCAGGCUAAUACCCUGCGCUGAUGACGGUACCGUCAUAAGAAGCACCGGCUACCUACGUGCCAGCACCCGCGGGAAUACGUAUGGUGCGAGCGUUAACCGGAAUUACUUGGCGUAAAGCGUGCGGAGGAGGUUGAUUAAGACAGACGUCAAUUGCCCGGGCUUAACCUGGGAACUGCGCUUGUGACUGGUAAGCUAGAGUACGGCAGAGGGCGGUGGAAUGCCACGUGUAGCAGUGAAAUGCGUAGAGAUAUGGAAGAACACCGAUGGCGAAGGCAGCACCCUGGGCCGAUACUGACGCUCAUGCACGAAAGCGUGAGUAGCAAACAGG